AUUGAACGCUGGCGGCAUGCCUUACACAUGCAAGUCGAACGGUAACGGGUCUUCGGGUGCCGACGAGUGGCGAACGGGUUAGUAAUACAUCGGAACGUGCCCGCUCGUGUGGGGUAACGAGGCCAAAGCUUUGCUAAUACCGCAUACGAUCUACGGAUGAAACCCGUGGACCGUAAGGCCUUGCGCUGACGGAGCGGCCGAUGGCAGAUUAGGUAGUUGGUGGGAUAAAAGCUUACCAAGCCGACGAUCUGUAGCUGGUCUGAGAGGAUGAUCAGCCACACUGGGACUGAGACACGGCCAAGACGCCUACGGGAGGCAGCAGUGGGGAAUUUUGGACAAUGGGGGCAAGCCUGAUCCAGACAUGCCGCGUGCAGGAUGAAGGCCUUCGGGUUGUAAACUGCUUUUGUACGGAACGAAAAGCCUUCUUUUAAUACAGGAGGGUCAUGACGGUACCGGAAGAAUAAGCACCGGCUAACUACGUG
RNAcentral lists this ribosomal RNA (482 nucleotides) under uncultured bacterium. RNAcentral describes it as "partial 16S ribosomal RNA". It matches the Rfam family "Bacterial small subunit ribosomal RNA", at positions 30 to 507 of the family's 1533-position model. The record is from RNAcentral.